UGGUUCUGGCAUCGAUGAAGAACGCAGCGAAAUGCGAUAAGUAAUGUGAAUUGCAGAAUUCAGUGAAUCAUCGAAUCUUUGAACGCACAUUGCGCCCUCCGGUAUUCCGGAGGGCAUGCCUGUUCGAGCGUCAUUACAACCCUCAAGCUCUGCUUGGCCUUGGGCGCCACCGGGAACGGUGGGCCUCAAACCCAGUGGCGGCGCCGUCUGGCCCUGAGCGUAGUACUACUCCUCGCUAUAGGUGCCUGGCGGCCGCUGGCCAGCAACCCCCAACUCUUUCGGUUGACCUCGGAUCAGGUAGGGAUACCCGCUGA
RNAcentral lists this unclassified non-coding RNA (314 nucleotides) under uncultured fungus. RNAcentral describes it as "partial contains 5.8S ribosomal RNA and internal transcribed spacer 2". The stretch from base 1 to 133 matches the Rfam family "5.8S ribosomal RNA", at positions 22 to 154 of the family's 154-position model. The record is from RNAcentral. Lineage: Eukaryota; Fungi.